AGGCUUAACACAUGCAAGUCGCGGGGUAACAUCUGGGAGAGCUUGCUCUUCCGAGGAUGACCGACCGGCGCGACGGGUGAGUAACGCGUAUCCAACCUGGCCCAUACCACGGGAUAGCCCGUCGAAAGGCGGAUUAAUACCGUAUGCUGUCAUCAAGAUGCAUAUAUUGAUGACGAAAGGACUGGCGGUAUGGGAUGGGGAUGCGUCUGAUUAGCUUGUGGCGGGUAACGGCCCACCAAGGCGACGAUCAGUAGGGGUUCUGAGAGGAAGGUCCCCCACAUUGGAACUGAGACACGGUCCAAACUCCUACGGGAGGCAGCAGUGAGGAAUAUUGGUCAAUGGGCGAGAGCCUGAACCAGCCAAGUAGCGUGCAGGAUGACGGCCCUAUGGGUUGUAAACUGCUUUUAUAAGGGAAUAAAGUGAGUCUCGUGAGACUUUUUGCAUGUACCUUAUGAAUAAGGACCGGCUAAUUCCGUG
RNAcentral lists this ribosomal RNA (477 nucleotides) under uncultured bacterium. RNAcentral describes it as "bacterial SSU rRNA". It matches the Rfam family "Bacterial small subunit ribosomal RNA", at positions 44 to 507 of the family's 1533-position model. The record is from RNAcentral.